GGGGAAAAAGCAAAGAAGCACAUGAUUUUAUAUACAGAAUUAACCAAAACUUAGGAAUUGGUGAUACCAAGUACCUCUAAAAGUGGGGGUAGAGGUGAAGCAUACAUGAGAGGAUUGGCUAAAAGUCUAUUUAAGAAUCAGACUUUAAGGGCCGGCCCAUGGCCAAGUGGUUAAGCUUGUGCACUCCACUUCAGCGGCACAGGGUUUUGCCGGUUCGUAUCCUGAGGAUGGACAUGGCACCGCUCAUCAAGCUAUGCUGAGGUGACGUCCCACAUGCCACAGCUAGAAGGACCCACAACUAGAAUAUACAACUAUGUACUGGGGUGCUUUGGGGAGAAGAAGGAAAAAUUGGAAAAAAAAAAACUAAAAAGAAAAGAAUUAGACUUUAUAUGUUUGCUUUAUGAAAAUACAUCAAGCUUUUGAUUUGUGUACUUUUCUAUAUGUAUUCUAUACUUCAAUAAAAAGUAAAAAAUAAAACGAGUUAAAGGGUUGGCCUGUUGGCAUAGUAGCUAAGUUCGCAUGUUCUGCUUCAGUGGCCUGGGGUUUGCAGGUUCGGAUCCCAGGCGAGGACCUACAUGCUACUCAUCAAGCCAUGCUGUGGCAGUGUCCCACGUACAAAAUAGAGGAAGACUGGCACAGAUGUUAGCUCAGGGCCAAUCUUCCUCAAGCAAAAAGAGGAAGACUGGCAAGAGAAGUUAGCUCAGGGCUAAUCUUCCUCACAAAAAAAGAAAGAAAGAAAAGAGUUAAACCCUACCUCUCCUCCCAACUCUGAGCAACAGGGCAAAGAUCACUCCCAUACCCUGGCAGAAAUCUGGAAGUUUGUUCCUUGGAGAGGGUUUUUGAAGUGAACGUUUUUGACUGAGAGUUUGAGAGAUAUCAUUUACAGUUGAUGUGGGAGCACCAAAACGGGAACGGGGGUUAAGUAAAAGUCUACAUACUCAGUGCCAAGACUCCCAGCCUUCUUCACCAACUUGGUUCCCAGACAUCAGUAGCCAGCCCUGUCUGGGAAAGAUGAGCCUCAAAAAGGGAUCCAAAGUUACUGACUGUGGGUAUUCCCCAACGAAUGGCCCAGGCAGAUUGACCCACAAAGAAUCCUACAGUCAACAAGGCCCUCCCAAAGGCACAGAGCUCCACUGGGUUUUGUAUCCUCACUCUUUACAAUGAGUUGACAGUCAAGGAUCACCUGAAAGAUAGAGACCAAAGUAAAGAAACAGAAAAAGCAAAACAAAGAAAAGACAGGCAUGAAGGGAGAAAGAAACUUCAAAAACAAAUCAUGAAUAUCUUCAAAGAGAUUCAUUCAUUCAUCCUUUCACUCAACAAAGAUUAUUCGUGCCCCACGUGCCAACCAUGGUUCUCAGGUGCUGGGAACAACAGUGAAGAAAACAGAGAUGUUUGCCUUUAUAAGCUAAUAUUCCAACUGAGGUGGGGUGAGGGAGAGAAAUGGAACAGAAAACAAUGAAGAAUACACAGAAUAAAUAAGUAAAAUUAAAUAGUGAGUUAGAAAGUGACAGCUGCUCUGGAAAAGAAGAGAGGAGCAGAGAAGGGAGACCAGGAGUGCUGUCUAGGGAUGGGAUGGAUGCAUGGGCACAUUCCAUUAUUAAACAGAGGCCACGGCAGGCAUACUGAGAAGAUGUGACUUGAGCAAAUCUUGAAGGAGUGAGGGAUUCUAGGCAGAAGGAACAGCUAAAGCCAAGGCGCUAAGGAAACUGAGGCUCCAGUGGUAAAUUGCAAUACCUUGUAAUAAGCUACAAGAUUCCUUCUAUGCCCUUCCCACCCAGGCACUAAUCCAUGACUCAACUACACACCUGCAAAACCAGGACCCUCUGGGACUGAA
RNAcentral lists this long non-coding RNA (1834 nucleotides) under Equus caballus (horse). Its description in RNAcentral is "lncRNA (ENSECAG00000055130.1)". Lineage: Eukaryota; Metazoa; Chordata; Mammalia; Perissodactyla; Equidae. The record is from RNAcentral.